CACGUAGGGUGCGAGCGUUGUCCGGAAUUAUUGGGCGUAAAGAGCUCGUAGGCGGUGUGUCGCGUCGGCCGUGAAAACCUGCAGCUUAACUGUGGGCUUGCGGUCGAUACGGGCAUCACUGGAGUUCGGCAGGGGAGACUGGAAUUCCUGGUGUAGCGGUGAAAUGCGCAGAUAUCAGGAGGAACACCGAUGGCGAAGGCAGGUCUCUGGGCCGCUACUGACGCUGAGAAGCGAAAGCAUGGGGAGCGAACAGG
Molecule: ribosomal RNA, 254 nt
Filed under: uncultured bacterium
Lineage: Bacteria
Description: partial 16S ribosomal RNA
Rfam family: Bacterial small subunit ribosomal RNA
Source: RNAcentral